UAGCCCAGUUGGUAGAGCACAAGACUUCUAACCUUGGGGUCUUGGGUUCAAGCCCCAU
This 58-nucleotide transfer RNA is filed under the name Zea mays. It matches the Rfam family "tRNA", at positions 8 to 63 of the family's 71-position model. Rfam says of the family: Transfer RNA (tRNA) molecules are approximately 80 nucleotides in length. Their secondary structure includes four short double-helical elements and three loops (D, anti-codon, and T loops). The record is from Rfam by way of RNAcentral. Lineage: Eukaryota; Viridiplantae; Streptophyta; Magnoliopsida; Poales; Poaceae.